AGCUAGUUGGUGGGGUAACGGCUCACCAAGGCGACGAUCAGUAGCCGGCCUGAGAGGGCGGACGGCCACACUGGGACUGAGACACGGCCCAGACUCCUACGGGAGGCAGCAGUGGGGAAUUGUUCGCAAUGGGCGCAAGCCUGACGACGCAACGCCGCGUGGAGGACGAAGACCUUCGGGUCGUAAACUCCUUUCGAUCGAGACGAAUGGCCUCUGGGUGAACAAUCUGGAGGAAUGACGGUACCGAGAGAAGAAGCCCCGGCUAACUCCGUGCCAGCAGCCGCGGUAAUACGGGGGGGGCAAGCGUUGUUCGGAAUUACUGGGCGUAAAGGGCUCGUAGGCGGCCAACUAAGUCAGACGUGAAAUCCCUCGGCUUAACCGGGGAACUGCGUCUGAUACUGGAUGGCUUGAGAUUGGGAGAGGGAUGCGGAAUUCCAGGUGUAGCGGUGAAAUGCGUAGAUAUCUGGAGGAACACCGGUGGCGAAGGCGGCAUCCUGGACCAACACUGACGCUGAGGAGCGAAAGCCAGGGGAGCAAACGGGAUUAGAUACCCCGGUAGUCCUGGCCCUAAACGAUGAAUGCUUGGUGU
This 589-nucleotide ribosomal RNA is filed under the name uncultured Acidobacteriota bacterium. RNAcentral describes it as "SSU rRNA". It matches the Rfam family "Bacterial small subunit ribosomal RNA", at positions 243 to 823 of the family's 1533-position model. Lineage: Bacteria; Pseudomonadati; Acidobacteriota. The record is from RNAcentral.